This 254-nucleotide ribosomal RNA is filed under the name uncultured bacterium. RNAcentral's name for it is "partial 16S ribosomal RNA". It matches the Rfam family "Bacterial small subunit ribosomal RNA", at positions 524 to 776 of the family's 1533-position model. The record is from RNAcentral.
UACGGGGGGAGCAAGCGUUGUUCGGAUUUACUGGGCGUAAAGGGCGCGUAGGCGGCCACCGCAAGUCGGUUGUGAAAUCUCCGGGCUUAACCCGGAAAGGUCAACCGAUACUGCGGGGCUAGAGUGCAGAAGGGGCAACUGGAAUUCUCGGUGUAGCGGUGAAAUGCGUAGAUAUCGAGAGGAACACCUGCGGCGAAGGCGGGUUGCUGGGCUGACACUGACGCUGAAGCGCGAAAGCUAGGGGAGCGAACGGG